This 480-nucleotide ribosomal RNA is filed under the name Blastocystis sp. RNAcentral's name for it is "SSU rRNA". It matches the Rfam family "Eukaryotic small subunit ribosomal RNA", at positions 460 to 953 of the family's 1831-position model. The record is from RNAcentral. Lineage: Eukaryota; Bigyra; Opalinata; Blastocystidae.
GGAGGUAGUGACAAUAAAUCACAAUGCGGAACUUCUGUUUUGCAAUUGGAUUGAGAACAACGCACAACACUUAUCGAUAAACAAUUGGAGGGCAAGUCUGGUGCCAGCAGCCGCGGUAAUUCCAGCUCCAAUAGCGUAUAUUAACGUUGUUGCAGUUAAAAAGCUCGUAGUUGAAGUGAAGUGUGAAUCUCUUGGAUUUUCGUUUGAAUUUCCUUUAGCUUCAUACUCUUUCCAAAUAGUUUGCAUGGGUAUUUACUUAUCUGUGUAUUGCAUUUGGUCAUUUACUGUGAGAAAAUUAGAGUGUUCAAAGCAUACGUUUGUUUGAAUACAUUAGCAUGGAAUAAUUCGAAAAGGCUUUCAUGUUCGAUUUGAUUGGUUUGUUCGUGAAGGCAAGAUUAAAAGGGACAGUUGGGGGUAUUCAUAUUCAAUAGUCAGAGGUGAAAUUCUCGGAUUCAUGGAAGAUGAACAAGUGCGAAAGCA